Molecule: long non-coding RNA, 550 nt
Filed under: Vulpes vulpes (red fox)
Lineage: Eukaryota; Metazoa; Chordata; Mammalia; Carnivora; Canidae
Description: lncRNA (ENSVVUG00000017878.1)
Source: RNAcentral
AAAACUGCAAUAAGUGCAGUAAGUCCCCUAAUUCCACUUUUGGAUGGUUCUCCAAUCAAGGCUAGGAUUUUCACUCAAACAGUUGCAUUUUUAACUUUCACAAAAUGCUUCCAAUUUUACAAAACAACCCAGCAUGGAAGAUGGAAGAACUGCAUUCCUACCCACCGAUACAUAUGUCUGGAGGAGGAGCCGUGUGAGGUAGAAAAUCACCAGUUCUUCCAGAGUUGUGUGUGCAACUUUAUGAUCACCAAGCCCACUAAUGGAAAAAGAAGCGAUAGAAUUAUAAAAAUUAAAAUGGAGAGGAUUGGCAUAAGAGCUGGAGGUCCUACUCUGCUCAUCAUGCCUCCGCCACCAACUUGGCAAGUCUCAAUUUUCUUAUCUCCAAAACAAGAUUAGAACACAGUCCUUCAGUUUUCAAUUCUGAUUCUUUCCCCAAAAUUAAGUGCCAACCAACAUAACAUGUCUAAAGAUGGUGUGAUGGAGGUAAAGAGGUCAAAUGAUACAAUUCAGUGGCAAUCAAUAAAUAAAUCCAUAGGAAAUAUAACUUGCA